GGCCAGAAAGGGGUGUAGGACCUGAACUGGGUAUGCAUGGCAAAAAAACUGGCGCAUGGGCCCUCAUGUCAAAUCCCAAACAAAAUUAAUGUAUAUUGGGGGAGGUGCAUUGGCCAAACGCAAUGUAUACUCAUCAAUUUGGCAUAAGGCCUAUAACGAGGCCCAAAACAGAAUAUGCACUCAAAACACACAUGGAAUGGAUAAUGGUCAAAGUCAAAUGUUGAACAAUCCAUGAGUCAGCACCUUGAGCCAUAUGAAUGGGAGCUUGCAACAGAUAAGUGUACAUGUAAUACAUCAAGACAACUCAGUACAAUUGAAUUUAAAUGCCUUUCCCUUUAUUUCUCUUACUCACCACCUCCGUCUCCGCCGCGCCUGAGGUUCCCUCAGCGGCGGAGAUUUCUAGAAACUAAAAACAAGGCCACCAUUAGCUUCAUCUUUUUAGCUUAAACAUGAAACACCCUUGAUUAUCAUUGAAAUUGAACCCUUCUCUUUAAUCGAACAAAACUAAUGGAAGAACCCUAGAUUCGAAAUCUGGAAUUAAAUGGAUACCAGGUGGAAUUGGAGGCCAAAAGAUCGGGGCUCUGGUUCCCUGAGCUCUAAGCUACAGACUGGUAACAAGUUCGAAGUGAAAUGAAGAAAAAGAUCAAGCAACCUACCACAAAAGAUGAAGCUGAAGAUGGCGAUGACGGUAGAAUUCAAGUUCGUCAAUUCUUCUUUCCUUCUGCUCUUUUCCUUUCCUCUUCUUCUUCUACGUGUGAUGUGUUUCUUGUUGUGCAUGAGAGUGGUUUAACUCUUAUUGUUUCAGAGCUUCAAUGUGAGGCUCUGAGCAACAAUGGAGGAGAUCUCUAAAGUGAGGUUUGAGAGAGAGAAAUGAAUGAAAAAAGAGUAUGAUUAUGUGAUCUUUGUGCAGAAUGAACAUGUAACUAAAAUUGGUGAUGAAGGAAGGAAUUUAUAGAGAUUUGGAACUAAAUUAUGUUAGGCUCAAUUAGAUAUCUAUAGUGAAAGUUAGCUAGAAGUUAUGUUGCUGUUAAAUUUUCCUGUUAAGAGUUAGUUAGAGCUUGGUGAAAUCCAAUUUUGUAGUCAUAACUUACAAUUUAAAAUGUUAAGUUAUGUUCAGUUAGACGUUAAUAGGUUAGUUGUUAAUUGUGAAUGAACUAUUGUGCUUCUGUUAGGUUAAUAGUUAAUACAAUCAUGUAGGAAGAUUAGUUAACUGUGAAUUUGAAGUUAAUUUGGAAAUGAAUUUGUUAUCAAUUUGGAGUUAAUUUGAAAUUAAUUUGUUAGACUAUGAUUCAUUAGUUGCAUCUUGAUUUCAUUUGCUUUUCUCAAUUCUACUUCAGAGUUAUAUUUCAAUGUAUUAGUGUUAAAACGAAAUUGAGUUGUCAAUGGCCCUGUAUUCAUUUCCUGUUAAAAAUGAUUUGUGAAGUACAAAGCUUGAAAUGGGGCAUUGCUAUUUCAGUCAGCUGCUAACUAGAACCAGUCUUGUUAAUUGGUGUUUCAAAAACUCGAUUAUUGCAACUGUUAGGUUAUGUUAAUUCGCUUAGGGUAUCAGUCACGACAGCUGGCUCAAAAAAAGAUCCCCAAAGCAACAAAGAAGCAGGUUCUCCCACUUCCAAAGACAUCUGUCACUGCCAUGAAGUCGGACGAGAUAUACUAGAACACGUUGCACGAUCGAACAUACAACAAAGUCGCCACCAAACUUUAUUUAUCCUAAAAGAGGGAAGGGGAAAUAUAUAUAAAACCUAAGGGAAACAGAGAAAUGGGUAAGGAAGUUGAUUAUGCAAGGGGAAGGUAUUAUCACCCCUCACAUCCAUGGUACUCCAUGGUAACCAUUUUGAAUGCUCUUGCUUGGAUGAGUGUUGCUAUCUUCAUGUGUCUGCAAAAUAGAAAAUGGGUUAGAGAGAGAGUUCUCGAGGAGGAUUAGGGCCCUCAUGCCUACAUAUUCUCAUAGUGCAAUGAGAAAGUCAGAGCCUCGUAGUUCGUGGAACUGGAGAGAAAGAAAGAAGAGUUAUCUCUAAGGAUUCGUAUCCUCGUGCCUAUGUAUCCUCAUAGUGCAAUGAGGAAGUCAGAGCUCCGUAGUUCAAAGGACUAAGACUGAAAGAGAGAAUGAUUGAGGGGUGUUUAAACCGGAAGGAAAUCUUACCAAAACGCAGGGGCUAAUAUGGUGUCAAAACAAAAAGGGGAGGUAUAUAACCAUAAAUGUGUCAACCCAAAAAUCAGAAAGAUGAAGGUGUAUAACAAACGAAAGUGUCAACCUGAAUUGUGGUGUCAAAACCAAGAGAAGGGGGUUAACCAUAAAGGCGUGUCCUUGAAUUGUGGUGUCAAAAACCAAGAGAAAGACUUACCAAAGCACGGGUACUGACAUGGUAAGUAAAGAAGGCAUGGACUUGUCAAAGCAUGAGGACUGACAUGACAAGGAUCUUACCAAAGCACUAAGACUUAUAUGGUAAGGGAAAUUAUGUUUAAACCAAGAAGGGAGGUGUAUGACCACUGAGGGUGUCAACCUGAAUUAUGGUGUUUAAAUCAAAGAAAAGGAAGGGGAUUAACCAUUGAGGUGUAUCCCAAAGAGGAAAUUGCAAUGGUGUUUAAACCAAAAGGAUCUGAAAAGAGGAGCCAUAGGGCUAGUUGCAGACUUGAAAGUGAAUUGACUGGAAUUUCACUAAAAUAUUUGAAUAAGGGUGAAUACUCAUUGCUUAAGGCUCAUGGCAUGCAAUCCUUGUCAAUGUCUGACAUGUUGUUGAAGCAGGUUCUUAGAGAUGGACUGUGGGGAUGAGGCAGAUGGUUGAUGCCUGACUGAUGCUUGAGGUCUUGUACUUGAUGAGAGGCUGAAGCUCCAAAGUGAUAGAGAUAAGUCAUAUCAAGUGACCAAGACACUUAUGGUCACUUGACAAAGACAAAGGGGAUAUGAAAAUUCAAAGGGAUCUAGUUUAUCAAACAUAGUUUGAUCAAGCUAAAUCAAGGGGAUGAGAAGAAUAGAACAUGCAAUGCAUGAUCAUACAAAUACUAGCCUAGGGUCUCAUUGUUAGGUAGCCCAAGAGAAAACCAUGUGGGUGCAAAGUGUACUGAGUCUAGUCUCAUUGAUAGUAGCCUAAGAGAAAGUCAUGUGGUUGCAAGUGUGCUAACCUAAAUAGGUGAAUGUGACAAGUAGAGGCAUAAGGCAAAUGAAUCAUAAACAAUAUGACAAGGCCAUAAGUUCAACAGUUCAACAAUAAGACCAAGCCAAAAGGGCCAAGGUCAUUAAGUCCCAAAUUACUCCAGAUAAAGCAAAGGUCUAAGGUCAUAAGUCCAAAGUCCAAAGUCCAAAUUGAGGGCAUCAUCACUCCAAGUCAAACUUAGGUCUUAAGGAUCAAGUCAGUUCAUUUUAUCAUGUUUUGAUUCAUUGAUAUUGUCAAGCAUAUCAAAC
Molecule: long non-coding RNA, 3400 nt
Filed under: Lathyrus oleraceus (garden pea)
Lineage: Eukaryota; Viridiplantae; Streptophyta; Magnoliopsida; Fabales; Fabaceae
Description: Pisum sativum (pea) long non-coding RNA (PSAT_LNC002552)
Source: RNAcentral